This 64-nucleotide transfer RNA is filed under the name Eurhadina exclamationis. Its description in RNAcentral is "tRNA-Pro". Lineage: Eukaryota; Metazoa; Arthropoda; Insecta; Hemiptera; Cicadellidae. The record is from RNAcentral.
CAGCUAAUAGUUUAAAUAAAAUAUAAUCUUUGGAAGAUUAUGAUGUAUAAUAAUAUUUGGCUGA